This 461-nucleotide ribosomal RNA is filed under the name uncultured bacterium. RNAcentral's name for it is "bacterial SSU rRNA". It matches the Rfam family "Bacterial small subunit ribosomal RNA", at positions 28 to 525 of the family's 1533-position model. The record is from RNAcentral.
GAUGAACGCUGGCGGCGUGCCUAAUACAUGCAAGUCGAGCGGUAAGGCCCCUUCGGGGGUACACGAGCGGCGGACGGCUGAGUAACGCGUAGGAACAUACCCCAAAGUGAGGGAUAACUGCUCGAAAGAGUAGCUAAUACCGCAUGUGAUCUAAGGAUUAAAGCUUCGGCGCUUUGGGAAUGGCCUGCGUAUGAUUAGUUUGUUGGUGAGGUAAUGGCUCACCAAGACUACGAUCAUUAGCUGGUCUGAGAGGAUGAUCAGCCAGACUGGGACUGAGACACGGCCCAGACUCCUACGGGAGGCAGCAGUAGGGAAUUUUCCACAAUGGGCGAAAGCCUGAUGGAGCAACGCCGCGUGCAGGAUGAAGGCUCUUGGGUCGUAAACUGCUUUUAUAGGUGAAGAUUAUGACGGUAACCUAUGAAUAAGGAUCGGCUAACUCCGUGCCAGCCGCCGCGGUAAUU